RNAcentral lists this ribosomal RNA (468 nucleotides) under uncultured bacterium. RNAcentral describes it as "partial 16S ribosomal RNA". It matches the Rfam family "Bacterial small subunit ribosomal RNA", at positions 28 to 507 of the family's 1533-position model. The record is from RNAcentral.
GACGAACGCUGGCGGCGUGCUUAACACAUGCAAGUCGAACGGAAAGGCCCUGCUUUUGUGGGGUGCUCGAGUGGCGAACGGGUGAGUAACACGUGAGUAACCUGCCCUUGACUUUGGGAUAACUUCAGGAAACUGGGGCUAAUACCGGAUAGGAGCUCCUGCUGCAUGGUGGGGGUUGGAAAGUUUCGGCGGUUGGGGAUGGACUCGCGGCUUAUCAGCUUGUUGGUGGGGUAGUGGCUUACCAAGGCUUUGACGGGUAGCCGGCCUGAGAGGGUGACCGGCCACAUGGGGACUGAGAUAGGGCGCAGUCUCGUACGGGAGGCAGUAGUGGGGAGUAUUGCACAAUGGGAGGAAGCCUGAUGAAGCAGCGCCGCGUGUGGGAAGACGGCCUGCGGGUUGUGAACCGCUUUAGCCUGUGACGACGCGUUAGUGACGGUAAUGGGUAAAGAAGCACCGGCUAACUACGUG